CUCUGCGUGAGGAGUCCAGCGGGUACACUUGGUUCCUGGGAUCCAGCUUCACUGGGAAAAUUGUUGUUUCAAGGGCCAUGUGAAAACUGCAAGUCCUGCCGUUAUUGAUGUUAAAUACUUAUCAAACAAUUCUACCAUUCCUCAUUGUUGGGCUUAUACCCAGCACAGGGUCAGGGUCAGCAGUCAAUCACUAUUUGUGGAAUAAACAAAAUCAUUCAUUUCUU
Lutra lutra (Eurasian river otter) is the source of this 224-nucleotide long non-coding RNA. RefSeq lists it as uncharacterized. The transcript has 2 exons. The record is from RefSeq and is a predicted model, not a curated record. NCBI's taxonomy places the organism in Eukaryota, Metazoa, Chordata, Mammalia, Carnivora, Mustelidae.